GGGGCUAUAGCUCAGCUGGGAGAGCGCUACACUGGCAUUGUAGAGGCCAGCGGUUCGAUCCCGCUUAGCUCCACCA
RNAcentral lists this transfer RNA (76 nucleotides) under Alphaproteobacteria bacterium. RNAcentral describes it as "tRNA-Ala". It matches the Rfam family "tRNA". Rfam says of the family: Transfer RNA (tRNA) molecules are approximately 80 nucleotides in length. The record is from RNAcentral. Lineage: Bacteria; Pseudomonadati; Pseudomonadota; Alphaproteobacteria.